This 68-nucleotide transfer RNA is filed under the name Callionymus maculatus (spotted dragonet). Its description in RNAcentral is "tRNA-Pro". It matches the Rfam family "tRNA". From Rfam's summary of the family: Transfer RNA (tRNA) molecules are approximately 80 nucleotides in length. Their secondary structure includes four short double-helical elements and three loops (D, anti-codon, and T loops). Further hydrogen bonds mediate the characteristic L-shaped molecular structure. tRNAs have two regions of fundamental functional importance: the anti-codon, which is responsible for specific mRNA codon recognition, and the 3' end, to which the tRNAs corresponding amino acid is attached (by aminoacyl-tRNA synthetases). tRNAs cope with the degeneracy of the genetic code in two manners: having more than one tRNA (with a specific anti-codon) for a particular amino acid; and 'wobble' base-pairing, i.e. permitting non-standard base-pairing at the 3rd anti-codon position. Lineage: Eukaryota; Metazoa; Chordata; Actinopteri; Syngnathiformes; Callionymidae. The record is from RNAcentral.
CAGGACAUAGUUUAAUAGAAUUUUGGCUUUGGGAGUCAUUGGUGAAGGUUAAAUCCCUUCUGUCUUGA